RNAcentral lists this ribosomal RNA (490 nucleotides) under uncultured bacterium. RNAcentral describes it as "partial 16S ribosomal RNA". It matches the Rfam family "Bacterial small subunit ribosomal RNA", at positions 30 to 507 of the family's 1533-position model. The record is from RNAcentral.
AUUGAACGCUGGCGGCAGGCCUAACACAUGCAAGUCGAACGGUAACAGGAAACAGCUUGCUGUUUCGCUGACGAGUGGCGGACGGGUGAGUAAUGUCUGGGAAACUGCCUGAUGGAGGGGGAUAACUACUGGAAACGGUAGCUAAUACCGCAUAACGUCGCAAGACCAAAGAGGGGGACCUUCGGGCCUCUUGCCAUCGGAUGUGCCCGGAUGGGAUUAGCUAGUAGGUGGGGUAACGGCUCACCUAGGCGACGAUCCCUAGCUGGUCUGAGAGGAUGACCAGCCACACUGGAACUGAGACACGGUCCAGACUCCUACGGGAGGCAGCAGUGGGGAAUAUUGCACAAUGGGCGCAAGCCUGAUGCAGCCAUGCCGCGUGUAUGAAGAAGGCCUUCGGGUUGUAAAGUACUUUCAGCGGGGAGGAAGGGAGUAAAGUUAAUACCUUUACUCAUUGACGUUACCCGCAGAAGAAGCACCGGCUAACUCCGUG